CCUACGGGCGGCAGCAGUGAGGAAUAUUGGUCAAUGGACGAGAGUCUGAACCAGCCAAGUAGCGUGAAGGAUGACUGCCCUAUGGGUUGUAAACUUCUUUUAUAUGGGAAUAAAAUGUUCCACGUGUGGGCUUUUGUAUGUACCAUAUGAAUAAGGAUCGGCUAACUCCGUGCCAGCAGCCGCGGUAAUACGGAGGAUCCAAGCGUUAUCCGGAUUUAUUGGGUUUAAAGGGAGCGUAGGUGGAUUGUUAAGUCAGUUGUGAAAGUUUGCGGCUCAACCGUAAAAUUGCAGUUGAAACUGGCAGUCUUGAGUACAGUAGAGGUAGGCGGAAUGCGUGGUGUAGCGGUGAAAUGCUUAGAUAUCACGAAGAACUCCGAUUGCGAAGGCAGCUUACUGGACUGCAACUGACACUGAGGCUCGAAAGUGUGGAUAGCAAACAGGAUUAGAUACCCUAGUAGUC
RNAcentral lists this ribosomal RNA (460 nucleotides) under uncultured bacterium. Its description in RNAcentral is "partial 16S ribosomal RNA". It matches the Rfam family "Bacterial small subunit ribosomal RNA", at positions 338 to 795 of the family's 1533-position model. The record is from RNAcentral.